This 255-nucleotide long non-coding RNA is filed under the name Lathyrus oleraceus (garden pea). RNAcentral describes it as "Pisum sativum (pea) long non-coding RNA (PSAT_LNC007429)". Lineage: Eukaryota; Viridiplantae; Streptophyta; Magnoliopsida; Fabales; Fabaceae. The record is from RNAcentral.
GAUGUGUGAGCAAUUCUCUUAAAAUGGAAAAAGAAAUUUAUAAUGCAGAGCAGUUCAUUAAUUUCAGUUAACAUUACAAAUACUCAAAAGGAAAGAAAAUAAAAAAGGAAAAUUAAAUCACACACAUCCACAGAUUGUCUCCACGCAACGCAUCUUUACAAUCAUUAGAUUGUAUGUUUGAACCUUUAUUAGGGUGAUAUAUAUGACACAAAUAACACAUAAUCUUUUUUAUUUAUUUAUUUUGUAGGAAUUCCA